Molecule: ribosomal RNA, 253 nt
Filed under: uncultured bacterium
Lineage: Bacteria
Description: partial 16S ribosomal RNA
Rfam family: Bacterial small subunit ribosomal RNA
Source: RNAcentral
UACGUAGGGUGCAAGCGUUAAUCGGAAUUACUGGGCGUAAAGCAUGCGCAGGCGGCUUUGCAAGACAGAUGUGAAAUCCCCGGGCUCAACCUGGGAAUUGCAUUGGAUACUGGCAGGCUAGAGUGCGGUAGAGGAUGGCGGAAUUCCCGGUGUAGCAGUGAAAUGCGUAGAGAUCGGGAGGAACAUCUGUGGCGAAGGCGGCCAUCUGGACCAGCACUGACACUGAGGCACGAAAGCGUGGGGAGCAAACAGG